RNAcentral lists this transfer-messenger RNA (336 nucleotides) under Anaerolineae bacterium. Its description in RNAcentral is "partial transfer-messenger RNA". It matches the Rfam family "transfer-messenger RNA", at positions 56 to 374 of the family's 374-position model. Rfam says of the family: Bacterial tmRNA, also known as 10Sa RNA or SsrA, is named for its dual tRNA and mRNA-like properties. Its role is to liberate the mRNA from a stalled ribosome. To accomplish this part of the tmRNA is used as a reading frame that ends in a translation stop signal. The record is from RNAcentral. Lineage: Bacteria; Bacillati; Chloroflexota; Anaerolineae.
CGCUCAACCACGAUAAAAUGAGCAAAACAAUAGCUGCCAACAACAGCAAACCUGCUCUGGCUUUCGCCGCCUAAGGCGCUUAGCCUGAGUGUUGGGUCCUAGUAACCCAACCGUUCGCCCCAUCCGUUUCCAUCCGGGUGGCUCGGCGGGCGUCAUUAAAGAUGGAAUGCGACGCGCACGACGCCGAUAAGUGCCCGUCAAAGACGACAUCGGCUGGCUGGCGGCGAACCGUGUUGACCGGGCUAUCGCCGGCGAGAGUCAAAUAGCCAACUAAGCCUGUAGAUGCGUUGUAUCGAUUCUUACGGACCGGAGCUGCGAUGCUCCGCACCUCCAUCA